CAACUACUCCCUCUGUCCCAAAUUUCUUGUCUUAGAUUCGUCUAGAUACAGAUGUAUCUAAUACUAAAAUGACUUGAUACAUCCGUAUCUAGAGAAAUCUAAGACAAGAAUUUUGGGACGGAGGGAGUACUUU
Non-coding RNA from Triticum aestivum (bread wheat), 133 nucleotides. NCBI's taxonomy places the organism in Eukaryota, Viridiplantae, Streptophyta, Magnoliopsida, Poales, Poaceae. The record is from Rfam.